Molecule: ribosomal RNA, 535 nt
Filed under: Bacillus licheniformis
Lineage: Bacteria; Bacillati; Bacillota; Bacilli; Caryophanales; Bacillaceae
Description: bacterial SSU rRNA
Rfam family: Bacterial small subunit ribosomal RNA
Source: RNAcentral
UUUUUUGCUUCAUUUUCUUCCUGCUCCUUUUUUAAAAUGUUGAUCCUGGCUCAGGACGAACGCUGGCGGCGUGCCUAAUACAUGCAAGUCGAGCGGACAGAUGGGAGCUUGCUCCCUUAUGUUAGCGGCGGACGGGUGAGUAACACGUGGGUUACCUGCCUGUAAGACUGGGAUAACUCCGGGAAACCGGGGCUAAUACCGGAUGCUUGAUUGAACCGCAUGGUUCAAUUAUAAAAGGUGGCUUUUAGCUACCACUUACAGAUGGACCCGCGGCGCAUUAGCUAGUUGGUGAGGUAACGGCUCACCAAGGCAACGAUGCGUAGCCGACCUGAGAGGGUGAUCGGCCACACUGGGACUGAGACACGGCCCAGACUCCUACGGGAGGCAGCAGUAGGGAAUCUUCCGCAAUGGACGAAAGUCUGACGGAGCAACGCCGCGUGAGUGAUGAAGGUUUUCGGAUCGUAAAACUCUGUUGUUAGGGAAGAACAAGUACCGUUCGAAUAGGGCGGUACCUGACGGUACCAACCAGAAAGCC